RNAcentral lists this ribosomal RNA (209 nucleotides) under uncultured bacterium. Its description in RNAcentral is "partial 16S ribosomal RNA". It matches the Rfam family "Bacterial small subunit ribosomal RNA", at positions 568 to 775 of the family's 1533-position model. The record is from RNAcentral.
CGCGCAGGCGGUCGUUCAAGUCGCGUGUGAAAGCCCCCGGCUCAACUGGGGAGGGUCACGCGAUACUGAUCGACUCGAAGGCAGGAGAGGGUAGUGGAAUUCCCGGUGUAGUGGUGAAAUGCGUAGAUAUCGGGAGGAACACCAGUGGCGAAGGCGACUACCUGGCCUGUUUCUUGACGCUGAGGCGCGAAAGCUAGGGGAGCAAACGG